ACAGCCUAUCAGAGCAGAGUGCUGCGUAUAUAAAAGCCGCUUGUUGUGCUACCCGGGAUGCGUCAUCGCUAGCUCCGCCCCUUGGUGUGUGUGGGUUUCCGCAUGGAAAAGCUGGAAUAGCUUCUGGUUUGCGGUUUUGCAGUGGUGCGCAGGCUGUCAUUGAUCCCCGGCUGGGUUGAGUCCACUUUCCGUGUGAAUUGUCAAACAUUAUGCUGUGAGCAAUCAUACAACUUAGGUUAUUUUGACGAAGAUUUGGGUACGUAUCAGUGUAUUUUUAUGUAUUACAUUUGUUAAUUUGGUUAACGAAUUGUUAAAUCUUAGCAGGAUAUUCCGUAGAGACGCUUCGAUUGCAGCCAACAGAUUAAGACUGUGCUGCUGUUUUGCUGCUAUUUCCUC
Puntigrus tetrazona (Sumatra barb) is the source of this 396-nucleotide long non-coding RNA. RefSeq lists it as uncharacterized. Lineage: Eukaryota; Metazoa; Chordata; Actinopteri; Cypriniformes; Cyprinidae. The record is from RefSeq and is a predicted model, not a curated record. The transcript is spliced from 3 exons.